Alosa sapidissima (American shad) is the source of this 156-nucleotide long non-coding RNA. RefSeq lists it as uncharacterized. The transcript is spliced from 3 exons. The record is from RefSeq and is a predicted model, not a curated record. Lineage: Eukaryota; Metazoa; Chordata; Actinopteri; Clupeiformes; Clupeidae.
UCUACUGAUCAUUUGAAAAAUUAAGACCUCUGUGAAAAAAUUCCAGACUUUGAGGUGAAAUUCAAUACUUUUUAAGGCCUUAAUUUAGGAAAAUGAAAUUUAAUACUUUUUAAUACUUUUAAGACUCCGCGGGUACCCUGAUUUUGUGAGAUAGAU